Molecule: long non-coding RNA, 650 nt
Organism: Arachis duranensis
Lineage: Eukaryota; Viridiplantae; Streptophyta; Magnoliopsida; Fabales; Fabaceae
Exons: 4
Source: RefSeq, a predicted model, not a curated record
CAUGGAAGAGAAGAACACUCUUCCAAAAAAAAAAAACAAGCUUGAUCUUCAAAUCCUUGUAAUUUUUUAUCCGGAGCUCCGAUCGUCACACCAUUUGCGGCCACGUGAUCACGGCGUCGAACUCUACAAAUCCCACAAGGUUGUAUAAGAGGAUCCAAUUAGCUUGAAGGAAAAGCUUAGUCUUGUCUUUUUUAUCCUUGAGUAUGGCAAGGUAUAUAUGAAUAUUGGAGCUUGAUUGAGGUUUUGGAAAGUUUGGAAGUAGAGCUAUUGCUGAAAGAUAUAUUGGUGAGGUGUUGAAGUCUUAGGAGCUUGAGAAAAAGUGAAAUUAGAAGUGUUCCGAGUUGAGCAGAGAAUUGGCCAAGAUGCAGGACGUGAGGCUCCUCGCUGAGACAUGCUGAAAGCUUCUGAUUUUGCGAAGAUCUUUAUCUUUUGGACUUUAUUUUGGUUAUCUGUAUUUACUUAGAUACUUAUAUUCUCCACUGUUUAUAUAUAUACUAUAUUAAAUCCCCUUAGAGGUUACUUUUGAGAAACAGGUUCUGUAAUCUUGUCUUUUAGGUUUAUUUUGGGUUCUCCUUUCUAUCUAUGUAUGUAUACUUCUAUGCUCGGAUCGGUUAUCUUCGCAAACCGAGUCUUGAGCUUUGAUAUCUAUA